This 269-nucleotide long non-coding RNA is filed under the name Physcomitrium patens. RNAcentral's name for it is "long non-coding RNA (PPAT_LNC009614)". Lineage: Eukaryota; Viridiplantae; Streptophyta; Bryopsida; Funariales; Funariaceae. The record is from RNAcentral.
UUGAUUAGGACUUAUUAAGGAUUUUUUUAGGAUUUGACUAAGAUUUAAUUAGGAUUUACGUAGGAUUUAUUUAAGAUUUGAUUAAGAUUUUUUUAGGAUUUGAUUAGGAUUUGAUUAGGAUUUAACUAGGAUUUUAUUAGGAUUUUGUCUAGGAUUUGAUUAGAUCUUAUUUAGAAAUUGACUAGGAUUUUAUUAGGAUUUUGUCUAGGAUUUGAUUAGAUCUUAUUUAGAAAUUGACUAGGGUUUGACAAGGAUUUGAUUAAGGUUUG